GUUGUUAUUAAUAACAUAUUUAUCAUUAGUUACCAUUAGCAAUUUAUAAUUGGUUGAUGAAUAAGUUGUCAAUUGAUAUUAGAAGAACCUUAAAUAUGUAAUUAACAACCGAUAUUAAAAUCAGCUAACUGCAAUCAAUUUAGGGAAUCAAUUGCUAAAUUAAAAAAUUAUUUUAAUUGACUCCAAAAUUAGCAACUCAUUUGCAAUUGGUUUUAAAAAUCAGUUGUAAAUAGCAAUGGAUUUGCAAUUUGUUGCUAAAAUUGAUUGUUAUUUGCAACCGAUUCCUUAUUGGUUACUAUUUCAAAUCAGUUGUUAAAUUAUUCCCCUAAAAAUUCUUGUCUAAUUUUUUUUUAUUUAUAACUAAUUUUGCAACCAAUUUUAAAAUUGAUUUUUCCUUCAAAAAAAUGCUGCUUAAUUUUUUGUUUCUUUUUUUUUUACUACUGAUUUGCAAAUCAAUUACUAACAAAAAUCAGUUGUUGUUAGCUACCAAUUUUUAAUUGGUUUUUUUCCCCAAAAAAUUCAUGCCCAUUUUUUUUUAUUUUUUUACUUUGAUUUGCAAUCGAUUUGUUAUUUGGUUGAUAACAGUAACCAAUUUUAAAAACUGAUUAAAAUUGGUUACUAUUAACAACUGAUUUUCCCUCAAAAAAUUUUUGCUCAUUUUUUUUAUUUUUAUUUACAAUAAAUUUGUGAAUUGGUUGCUGGCAGCAACUGAAUUUUAAAAUUGAUUUUCCCCCAAAAGUUCUUGUCCUUUUUUUAUUUUGAUUUGUAACUGAUUUACGAAUCAAUUGCUAAAAAUAACAGAUUUUUGCAACUGAUUGAAAUCAAUUGUUUUCUCUCAAAAAUUUCUGUCCAAUUUUUAAAAGAAAAUUAGCAAUCGACAAUUUUUUAGUAAAAUCGAUUGCUAAUUCAUUUAUAUAAACCACUACUCAUUUUCUUUCCCCAUUAUUUAUUUAUUUAUUUAUUUU
RNAcentral lists this unclassified non-coding RNA (965 nucleotides) under Hevea brasiliensis (rubber tree). Lineage: Eukaryota; Viridiplantae; Streptophyta; Magnoliopsida; Malpighiales; Euphorbiaceae. The record is from RNAcentral.